This 87-nucleotide ribosomal RNA is filed under the name Plasmodium reichenowi. The record is from RNAcentral. Lineage: Eukaryota; Apicomplexa; Aconoidasida; Haemosporida; Plasmodiidae.
AAUUAUAGUUACCAUAGCUGUAGAUGGAUGCUUCGAUAUAUAGUAUAUUACAGUAUCAAUCGGAUUUACAUGCUCAGCCGCCAAAAA